GUAGUCUCGCAUAGAUGCAUAUCAAUAAGCGGAGGAAAAGAAACUAACAAGGAUUCCCCUAGUAACGGCGAGUGAAGCGGGAAGAGCUCAAAUUUGAAAUCUUCAAGGGUUUACCUUUACGAAUUGUAGUUUAAAGAAGUGUUUUCUGUUGAGGUUUUGGUAAAAGUUCUUUGGAAUAGGACAUCAUAGAGGGUGAGAAUCCCGUAUUUGACCUUUACUUUCAACUUUGUGAUACACUUUCAAAGAGUCGGAUUGUUUGGGAAUGCAGUCCAAAAUGGGUGGUAAAUUUCAUCUAAAGCUAAAUAUUGGCGAGAGACCGAUAGCGAACAAGUACCGUGAGGGAAAGAUGAAAAGAACUUUGAAAAGAGAGUUAAACAGUACGUGAAAUUGUCAAAAGGGAAGCGUUUGACACCAGUGUUGUUUUUCUGAAAAUCAAUUAAAGAACUGUUUAUGCUAAGUUGUUUAGACUUUAUCAGCUAUCUGUUUAGUUUUGAGCUUUUCUUUAAUGCACUUUUCAGUUAACAAGUCAACAUCAAUUUCUUUUGCUGUAAAAAAGCUUGAGGAAGGUGGCUUGAGAUUCGUCUUAAGUGUUUAUAGCCUCUUGCCUAUGCAGUCGGAGAGAUUGAGGUCUGCAGCGUAGAUCCUUCGGGGCUAAAUGCAUUUGUGCUAAGUUAUAGCAUUUUAUAGACAACUUGUUGACUAUGAUUUGUCUUGUAGCUUACUCGCUUAUGUUAUUUUACCUACGCUUAGGAUGUUGACAGCAGUAUAGACUGU
Molecule: ribosomal RNA, 774 nt
Filed under: uncultured Neocallimastigales
Lineage: Eukaryota; Fungi; Neocallimastigomycota; Neocallimastigomycetes; Neocallimastigales
Description: partial large subunit ribosomal RNA
Rfam family: Eukaryotic large subunit ribosomal RNA
Source: RNAcentral